UACGUAGGGUGCGAGCGUUAAUCGGAAUUACUGGGCGUAAAGUGUGCGCAGGCGGCCGCGCAAGUCGAGUGUGAAAAUCCCCGAGCUUAACUUGGGAAUUGCGCUCGAAACUACGUGGCUGGAGUGUGGCAGGGGAAGGUGGAAUUCCACGUGUAGCGGUGAAAUGCGUAGAGAUGUGGAGGAACACCGAUGGCGAAGGCAGCCUUCUGGGCCAACACUGACGCUCAUGCACGAAAGCGUGGGGAGCAAACAGG
This 254-nucleotide ribosomal RNA is filed under the name uncultured bacterium. RNAcentral's name for it is "partial 16S ribosomal RNA". It matches the Rfam family "Bacterial small subunit ribosomal RNA", at positions 524 to 776 of the family's 1533-position model. The record is from RNAcentral.